GAUGAACGCUAGCGGCGUGCCUAACACAUGCAAGUCGAACGUGAGAGGGUACUUGUAUCCUUGAAAGUGGCGGACGGGUGAGUAAGACGUAGGUGACCUGCCUUGAAGUGGGGGAUAACCAUUGGAAACGAUGGCUAAUACCGCAUAAGCUGGUGACGAUGGGAAUCGUUAACAGGAAAGCUUUAGUGCUUUGAGAGGGGCCUACGGCCGAUUAGCUAGUUGGUGAGGUAAAGGCUCACCAAGGCGAUGAUCGGUAGCUGGUCUGAGAGGACGAUCAGCCACACGGGAACUGAGACACGGUCCCGACUCCUACGGGGGGCAGCAGUGAGGAAUAUUCGGCAAUGGGGGCAACCCUGACCGAGCAACGCCGCGUGGAGGAUGACGGUUUUCGGAUCGUAAACUCCUUUUCUCAGGGAAGAGCGAGGACGGUACCUGGGGAAUAAGUCACGGCUAACUACGUG
Molecule: ribosomal RNA, 461 nt
Filed under: uncultured bacterium
Lineage: Bacteria
Description: bacterial SSU rRNA
Rfam family: Bacterial small subunit ribosomal RNA
Source: RNAcentral